UGGGGAAUCAUGGUCAAUGGGCGAAAGCCUGAACCUGCGACGCCGCGUGAGUGAUGAAGCCCUUCGGGGUGUAAAGCUCUUUCGGCAGGAACGAUAAUGACGGUACCUGCAGAAGAAGCUGCGGCUAACUACGUGCCAGCAGCCGCGGUAAUACGUAGGCAGCAAGCGUUGUUCGGAGUUACUGGGCGUAAAGAGUGCGUAGGCGGUCCUCUAAGUUCGGUGUGAAAUCUCCCGGCUCAACUGGGAGGGUGCGCCGGAAACUGGGGGGCUUGAGUAUGGGAGAGGAAAGCGGAAUUCCUGGUGUAGCGGUGAAAUGCGUAGAUAUCAGGAGGAACACCUGUGGUGUAGACGGCUUUCUGGACCAUGACUGACGCUGAGGCACGAAAGCGUGGGGAGCAAACA
Molecule: ribosomal RNA, 402 nt
Filed under: uncultured prokaryote
Description: bacterial SSU rRNA
Rfam family: Bacterial small subunit ribosomal RNA
Source: RNAcentral